CCUACGGGGGGCAGCAGUGGGGAAUAUUGGGCAAUGGGCGCAAGCCUGACCCAACAACGCCGCGUGAAGGAAGAAGGCUUUCGGGUUGUAAACUUCUUUUGUCAGGGACGAAGCAAGUGACGGUACCUGACGAAUAAGCCACGGCUAACUACGUGCCAGCAGCCGCGGUAAUACGUAGGUGGCAAGCGUUAUCCGGAUUUACUGGGUGUAAAGGGCGUGUAGGCGGGGAAGCAAGUCAGAUGUGAAAACCACGGGCUCAACCUGUGGCCUGCAUUUGAAACUGUUUUUCUUGAGUGCUGGAGAGGCAAUCGGAAUUCCGUGUGUAGCGGUGAAAUGCGUAGAUAUACGGAGGAACACCAGUGGCGAAGGCGGAUUGCUGGACAGCAACUGACGGUGAGGCGCGAAAGCGUGGGGAGCAAACAGGAUUAGAUACCCGAGUAGUC
RNAcentral lists this ribosomal RNA (443 nucleotides) under uncultured bacterium. RNAcentral's name for it is "partial 16S ribosomal RNA". It matches the Rfam family "Bacterial small subunit ribosomal RNA", at positions 338 to 795 of the family's 1533-position model. The record is from RNAcentral.